This 829-nucleotide ribosomal RNA is filed under the name Leptographium lundbergii. RNAcentral describes it as "SSU rRNA". It matches the Rfam family "Eukaryotic small subunit ribosomal RNA", at positions 74 to 916 of the family's 1831-position model. Lineage: Eukaryota; Fungi; Ascomycota; Sordariomycetes; Ophiostomatales; Ophiostomataceae. The record is from RNAcentral.
UUAUACAGCGAAACUGCGAAUGGCUCAUUAAAUCAGUUAUCGUCUAUUUGAUAGUACCUUACUACUUGGAUAACCGUGGUAAUUCUAGAGCUAAUACAUGCUGAAAACCCCGACUUCGGAAGGGCUGUAUUUAUUAGAUUAAAAACCAAUGCCCUCCGGGGCUCACUGGUGAUUCAUAAUAACUGCUCGAAUCGCACGGCCUUGCGCCGGCGAUGGUUCAUUCAAAUCUCUGCCCUAUCAACUUUCGACGGCUGGGUCUUGGCCAGCCAUGGUGACAACGGGUAACGGAGGGUUAGGGCUCGACCCCGGAGAAGGAGCCUGAGAAACGGCUACUACAUCCAAGGAAGGCAGCAGGCGCGCAAAUUACCCAAUCCCGACUCGGGGAGGUAGUGACAAUAAAUACUGAUACAGGGCUCUUUUGGGUCUUGUAAUUGGAAUGAGUACAAUUUAAUUCCCUUAACGAGGAACAAUUGGAGGGCAAGUCUGGUGCCAGCAGCCGCGGUAAUUCCAGCGCCAAUAGCGUAUAUUAAAGUUGUUGCAGUUAAAAAGCUGGUAGUUGACCUUGGGCCUGGCUGCCGGUCCGCCUCACCGCGUGCAUUGGUUCGGCCGGGCCUUUCCCUCUGGGAAGCCGCAUGCCCUUCACUGGGCGUGUCGGGGACCCAGGACUUUUACUUUGAAAAAAUUAGAGUGUUCAAAGCAGGCUUAUGCUCGGAUACAUUAGCAUGGAAUAAUAGAAUAGGACGUGCGGUUCUAUUUUGUUGGUUUCUAGGCCGCCGUAAUGAUUAAUAGGACAGUCGGGGGCAUCAGUAUUCAGUUGUCAGAGGUGAAA